GACGAACGCUGGCGGCGUGCCUAAUACAUGCAAGUAGAACGCUGAAGAGAGGAGCUUGCUCUUCUUGGAUGAGUUGCGAACGGGUGAGUAACGCGUAGGUAACCUGCCUUGUAGCGGGGGAUAACUAUUGGAAACGAUAGCUAAUACCGCAUAACAAUGGAUGACACAUGUCAUUUAUUUGAAAGGGGCAAUUGCUCCACUACAAGAUGGACCUGCGUUGUAUUAGCUAGUAGGUGAGGUAAUGGCUCACCUAGGCGACGAUACAUAGCCGACCUGAGAGAGUGAUCGGCCACACUGGGACUGAGACACGGCCCAGACUCCUACGGGAGGCAGCAGUAGGGAAUCUUCGGCAAUGGGGGCAACCCUGACCGAGCAACGCCGCGUGAGUGAAGAAGGUUUUCGGAUCGUAAAGCUCUGUUGUAAGUCAAGAACGGGUGUGAGAGUGGAAAGUUCACACUGUGACGGUAGCUUACCAGAAAGGGACGGCUAACUACGUG
RNAcentral lists this ribosomal RNA (497 nucleotides) under uncultured bacterium. Its description in RNAcentral is "partial 16S ribosomal RNA". It matches the Rfam family "Bacterial small subunit ribosomal RNA", at positions 28 to 507 of the family's 1533-position model. The record is from RNAcentral.